This 496-nucleotide ribosomal RNA is filed under the name uncultured bacterium. RNAcentral's name for it is "bacterial SSU rRNA". It matches the Rfam family "Bacterial small subunit ribosomal RNA", at positions 29 to 560 of the family's 1533-position model. The record is from RNAcentral.
AAGAACGCUGGCGGCAGGCCUAAGACAUGCAAGUCGUACGCGAACGACCUUUCGGGGUUAAGUAGAGUGGCGAACGGGUUAGUAACGCGUGGGAACAUACACAGCACAGGGGGAUAACCAUUGGAAACGAUGGCUAAUACCGCAUACGCCCUAUUGGGGAAAGAUUUAUCGGUGUUGGAUUGGCCCGCGUUAGAUUAGCUAGUUGGUGGGGUAAUGGCUCACCAAGGCGACGAUUUAUAGCUGGUUUGAGAGGAUGAUCAGCAACACUGGAACUGAGACACGGUCCAGACUCCUACGGGAGGCAGCAGUCGGGAAUAUUGUGCAAUGGGGGCAACCCUGACACAGCCAUGCCGCGUGAGUGAAGAAGGCCUUAGGGUUGUAAAGCUCUUUCAGAUGUGAGGAUGAUGACGAUAGCAUCAGAAGAAGCUCCGGCUAACUUCGUGCCAGCAGCCGCGGUAAUACGAAGGGAGCUAGCGUNGUUCGGAAUUACUGGGCG